UACACGACCGUACCGCAAACCGACACUGGUGCGCGAGAUGAGUAUUCUAAGGCGCUUGAGAGAACUCAGGAGAAGGAACUCGGCAAAUUGACACCGUAACUUCGGAAGAAGGUGUGCCUUUAGUAGGUGAACCAUUUACUUGGGGAGCCCAAUGAGGCUGCAAAAAAUCGGUGGCUGCAACUGUUUAUUAAAAACACAGCACUCUGCUAAGACGAAAGUCGACGUAUAGGGUGUGACGCCUGCCCGGUGCUGGAAGAUUAAAUGAUGGGGUGCAAGCUCUUGAUUGAAGUCCCAGUAAACGGCGGCCGUAACGAUAACGGUCCUAAGGUAGCGAAAUUCCUUGUCGGGUAAGUUCCGACCUGCACGAAUGGCGUAAUGAUGGCCACACUGUCUCCUCCUGAGACUCAGCGAAGUUGAAAUGUUUGUGAUGAUGCAAUCUCCCCGCGGAAAGACGGAAAGACCCCAUGAACCUUUACUGUAGCUUUGUAUUGGACUUUGAACAGAUCUGUGUAGGAUAGGUGGGAGGCUUUGAAGUGUGGUCGCUAGAUCGCAUGGAGCCAACGUUGAAAUACCACCCUGGUGUGUUUGAGGUUCUAACCUAGGUCCAUUAUCUGGAUCGGGGACAGUGCAUGGUAGGCAGUUUGACUGGGGCGGUCUCCUCCCAAAGUGUAACGGAGGAGUUCGAAGGUACGCUAGGUACGGUCGGACAUCGUGCUAAUAGUGCAAUGGCAUAAGCGUGCUUAACUGCGAGACUGACAAGUCGAGCAGAUGCGAAAGCAGGACAUAGUGAUCCGGUGGUUCUGUAUGGAAGGGCCAUCGCUCAACGGAUAAAAGGUACUCUGGGGAUAACAGGCUGAUACCGCCCAAGAAUUCAUAUCGACGGCGGUGUUUGGCACCUCGAUGUCGGCUCAUCUCAUCCUGGGGCUGUAGCCGGUCCCAAGGGUAUGGCUGUUCGCCAUUUAAAGAGGUACGUGAGCUGGGUUUAAAACGUCGUGAGACAGUUUGGUCCCUAUCUUCCGUGGGCGCUGCAGAUUUGAGGAAGCCUGCUCCUAGUACGAGAGGACCGGAGUGGACGAACCUCUGGUGUAUCGGUUGUCACGCCAGUGGCAUUGCCGAGUAGCUAAGUUCGGAAGAGAUAACCGCUGAAAGCAUCUAAGCGGGAAACUCGUUUCAAGAUUAGAUCUGCCGGGGCCUUGAGCCCCCUAAAGAGUCGUUCAAGACCAGGACGUUGAUAGGUCAGGUGUGGAAGC
This 1250-nucleotide ribosomal RNA is filed under the name metagenome. RNAcentral describes it as "bacterial LSU rRNA". It matches the Rfam family "Bacterial large subunit ribosomal RNA", at positions 1635 to 2874 of the family's 2925-position model. The record is from RNAcentral.